Molecule: long non-coding RNA, 356 nt
Filed under: Zostera marina
Lineage: Eukaryota; Viridiplantae; Streptophyta; Magnoliopsida; Alismatales; Zosteraceae
Description: long non-coding RNA (ZMAR_LNC003428)
Source: RNAcentral
GCAAGAUCAAUAUUCCCACACUUGGCAUACAUGUCUAUUAACACAGAUAAAAUCCGAGUGUCAGCGGUUAGUCCGAUGGCAAGGACGAAUUUGUGGAUCAUCUGACAGGGCCUGGAAGCUCCGAUGUUGGAGUAAGCUGCAACUACACUUAGCAUUGUAAUUGAAUUGGGCUUUAUGGUAUCUUCUUCUUUCAUUAGCAUUCUUUUGAAUAGGUAGAGUGCAUCCUCUGGCUGAGAUGAUUGCUCGUAAGCUGCUAUCAUCGCACUCCAACAUAUAGUGUUCUUGCCCUUGAUUCCAUCAAAGAUUCGACGAGCCUGUUUGAAAUCACCACACCUUGCAUGCAUAUCAACCAAAGC